Molecule: non-coding RNA, 73 nt
Organism: Megalops atlanticus (tarpon)
Lineage: Eukaryota; Metazoa; Chordata; Actinopteri; Elopiformes; Megalopidae
Source: the annotation of a GenBank genome assembly
UGCAGUAUAGCAUAGUGGUAAGGCACAGGGCUAGUAACCAAAAGGUUGCUGGUUUGAUUCCCCGCUGGGGCAC